AGCGUACACGGUGGAUGCCCUGGCAGUCAGAGGCGAUGAAGGACGUGCUAAUCUGCGAUAAGCGUCGGUAAGGUGAUAUGAACCGUUAUAACCGGCGAUUUCCGAAUGGGGAAACCCAGUGUGAUUCGUCACACUAUCAUUAACUGAAUCCAUAGGUUAAUGAGGCGAACCGGGGGAACUGAAACAUCUAAGUACCCCGAGGAAAAGAAAUCAACCGAGAUUCCCCCAGUAGCGGCGAGCGAACGGGGAGCAGCCCAGAGCCUGAAUCAGUGUGUGUGUUAGUGGAAGCGUCUGGAAAGGCGCGCGAUACAGGGUGACAGCCCCGUACACAAAAAUGCACAUGCUGUGAGCUCGAUGAGUAGGGCGGGACACGUGGUAUCCUGUCUGAAUAUGGGGGGACCAUCCUCCAAGGCUAAAUACUCCUGACUGACCGAUAGUGAACCAGUACCGUGAGGGAAAGGCGAAAAGAACCCCGGCGAGGGGAGUGAAAAAGAACCUGAAACCGUGUACGUACAAGCAGUGGGAGCACGCUUAGGCGUGUGACUGCGUACCUUUUGUAUAAUGGGUCAGCGACUUAUAUUCUGUAGCAAGGUUAACCGAAUAGGGGAGCCGAAGGGAAACCGAGUCUUAACUGGGCGUUAAGUUGCAGGGUAUAGACCCGAAACCCGGUGAUCUAGCCAUGGGCAGGUUGAAGGUUGGGUAACACUAACUGGAGGACCGAACCGACUAAUGUUGAAAAAUUAGCGGAUGACUUGUGGCUGGGGGUGAAAGGCCAAUCAAACCGGGAGAUAGCUGGUUCUCCCCGAAAGCUAUUUAGGUAGCGCCUCGUGAAUUCAUCUCCGGGGGUAGAGCACUGUUUCGGCAAGGGGGUCAUCCCGACUUACCAACCCGAUGCAAACURCGAAUACCGGAGAAUGUUAUCACGGGAGACACACGGCGGGUGCUAACGUCCGUCGUGAAGAGGGAAACAACCCAGACCGCCAGCUAAGGUCCCAAAGUCAUGGUUAAGUGGGAAACGAUGUGGGAAGGCCCAGACAGCCAGGAUGUUGGCUUAGAAGCAGCCAUCAUUUAAAGAAAGCGUAAUAGCUCACUGGUCGAGUCGGCCUGCGCGGAAGAUGUAACGGGGCUAAACCAUGCACCGAAGCUGCGGCAGCGACGCUUAUGCGUUGUUGGGUAGGGGAGCGUUCUGUAAGCCUGYGAAGGUGUGCUGUGAGGCAUGCUGGAGGUAUCAGAAGUGCGAAUGCUGACAUAAGUAACGAUAAAGCGGGUGAAAAGCCCGCUCGCCGGAAGACCAAGGGUUCCUGUCCAACGUUAAUCGGGGCAGGGUGAGUCGACCCCUAAGGCGAGGCCGAAAGGCGUAGUCGAUGGGAAACAGGUUAAUAUUCCUGUACUUGGUGUUACUGCGAAGGGGGGACGGAGAAGGCUAUGUUGGCCGGGCGACGGUUGUCCCGGUUUAAGCGUGUAGGCUGGUUUUCCAGGCAAAUCCGGAAAAUCAAGGCUGAGGCGUGAUGACGAGGCACUACGGUGCUGAAGCAACAAAUGCCCUGCUUCCAGGAAAAGCCUCUAAGCAUCAGGUAACAUCAAAUCGUACCCCAAACCGACACAGGUGGUCAGGUAGAGAAUACCAAGGCGCUUGAGAGAACUCGGGUGAAGGAACUAGGCAAAAUGGUGCCGUAACUUCGGGAGAAGGCACGCUGAUAUGUAGGUGAAGUCCCUCGCGGAUGGAGCUGAAAUCAGUCGAAGAUACCAGCUGGCUGCAACUGUUUAUUAAAAACACAGCACUGUGCAAACACGAAAGUGGACGUAUACGGUGUGACGCCUGCCCGGUGCCGGAAGGUUAAUUGAUGGGGUUAGCGCAAGCGAAGCUCUUGAUCGAAGCCCCGGUAAACGGCGGCCGUAACUAUAACGGUCCUAAGGUAGCGAAAUUCCUUGUCGGGUAAGUUCCGACCUGCACGAAUGGCGUAAUGAUGGCCAGGCUGUCUCCACCCGAGACUCAGUGAAAUUGAACUCGCUGUGAAGAUGCAGUGUACCCGCGGCAAGACGGAAAGACCCCGUGAACCUUUACUAUAGCUUGACACUGAACAUUGAGCCUUGAUGUGUAGGAUAGGUGGGAGGCUUWGAAGUGUGGACGCCAGUCUGCAUGGAGCCGACCUUGAAAUACCACCCUUUAAUGUUUGAUGUUCUAACGUKGACCCGUAAUCCGGGUUGCGGACAGUGUCUGGUGGGUAGUUUGACUGGGGCGGUCUCCUCCUAAAGAGUAACGGAGGAGCACGAAGGUUGGCUAAUCCUGGUCGGACAUCAGGAGGUUAGUGCAAUGGCAUAAGCCAGCUUGACUGCGAGCGUGACGGCGCGAGCAGGUGCGAAAGCAGGUCAUAGUGAUCCGGUGGUUCUGAAUGGAAGGGCCAUCGCUCAACGGAUAAAAGGUACUCCGGGGAUAACAGGCUGAUACCGCCCAAGAGUUCAUAUCGACGGCGGUGUUUGGCACCUCGAUGUCGGCUCAUCACAUCCUGGGGCUGAAGUAGGUCCCAAGGGUAUGGCUGUUCGCCAUUUAAAGUGGUACGCGAGCUGGGUUUAGAACGUCGUGAGACAGUUCGGUCCCUAUCUGCCGUGGGCGCUGGAGAAYUGAGGGGGGCUGCUCCUAGUACGAGAGGACCGGAGUGGACGCAUCACUGGUGUUCGGGUUGUCAUGCCAAUGGCACUGCCCGGUAGCUAAAUGCGGAAGAGAUAAGUGCUGAAAGCAUCUAAGCACGAAACUUGCCCCGAGAUGAGUUCU
Molecule: ribosomal RNA, 2773 nt
Filed under: Escherichia coli
Lineage: Bacteria; Pseudomonadati; Pseudomonadota; Gammaproteobacteria; Enterobacterales; Enterobacteriaceae
Description: bacterial LSU rRNA
Source: RNAcentral